Molecule: small nuclear RNA, 19 nt
Filed under: Arabidopsis thaliana (thale cress)
Lineage: Eukaryota; Viridiplantae; Streptophyta; Magnoliopsida; Brassicales; Brassicaceae
Description: snRNA_12658
Source: RNAcentral
UUAGACCGUCGUGAGACAG